UGGCUCAAGAUGAACGCUGGCGGCGUGCCUAACACAUGCAAGUCGAACGGGGUAUAUAAGCGGAAGUUUACGGAUGGAAGGUUAUAUACUUAGUGGCGGACGGGUGAGUAACGCGUGGGCAACCUGCCCCGUGCCGGGGGAUACCGCCUGGAAACAGGCGCUAAUACCGCAUAAGCGCAUACAGCCGCAUGGGUGUAUGCGGAAAGCUCCGGCGGCACGGGAUGGGCCCGCGCCCGAUUAGCCAGUUGGCGGGGUAACGGCCCACCAAAGCGACGAUCGGUAGCCGGCCUGAGAGGGCGGACGGCCACAUUGGGACUGAGACACGGCCCAAACUCCUACGGGAGGCAGCAGUGGGGAAUAUUGCACAAUGGGGGAAACCCUGAUGCAGCAACGCCGCGUGGGUGAAGGAGCGUUUCGGCGCGUAAAGCCCUGUCAGCGGGGAAGAAGAAAGACGGUACCCGACCUAGAAGCCCCGGCUAACUACGUGCCAGCAGCCGCGGUAAUACGUAAGGGGCGAGCGUUAUCCGGAAUUACUGGGUGUAAAGGGAGCGUAGACGGCGAGGUAAGCCUGAAGUGGAAGCCCGCGGCC
Molecule: ribosomal RNA, 589 nt
Filed under: uncultured bacterium
Lineage: Bacteria
Description: bacterial SSU rRNA
Rfam family: Bacterial small subunit ribosomal RNA
Source: RNAcentral